RNAcentral lists this ribosomal RNA (837 nucleotides) under Triticum aestivum (bread wheat). Its description in RNAcentral is "partial small subunit ribosomal RNA". Lineage: Eukaryota; Viridiplantae; Streptophyta; Magnoliopsida; Poales; Poaceae. The record is from RNAcentral.
AUGGCCAAGCGCCUCUUCCAUUCUUGCCGCUCCCCGUCCGCCGCCGCCGUGGUCACCCCGGCCACCAACCUCCUCGCCAAGCACCACUCGCCGGCCUUCACACCCCCCGCAGGCGGAUGCUGUCCGCGCGGCCUCACUCACCGGCGGCCGCUGCCGCCGGAGACCUGCAGCGCCAGGGGCUGCGCUGCCGACUACACUGCCGACGACCUCCCUCCGGCCCGCGGAACGCCCGCCUACCGCUGGCUGAAGAGCUCUCACUGGCACGUCAUCGAGGCCGCCACCGACGGCGACGACACGCCUCGCCUCAAGAUCGACGCGCGGCGCCGGCUGCGGCGCUCCCGGCGCCGCCGCCGGCUCCACCGCAAGGCGGCCAUUGAGAGCCUGUCGUCCGGCGACAGCGGGUGGUUCAGCAGCAGCGAGGAGCCGAGCGCGUACAGCAGCCGCAGCGUCGAGGCGGAGGCGACGCUGGUCACGUCCACCGCGACGGAGACCUCGUCGGGGGUGAGCGGGAGCUCCGGCGUCGCGGCGGCCGCCGCGGCGGAGGCGGUGGUGGCCGGGAGCUUCGCGGUGGUGAAGCGCUCGGACGACCCCCGGGCCGACUUCCGGCUGUCCAUGGCGGAGAUGGUGGUGGGCCGCGGCAUCUACGACGCCGACGGGCUGGAGCGCCUGCUGCGGUGCUUCCUGGCGCUGAACGACCAGCGCCACCGCCGCGACAUCGUCGACGCCUUCGGCGACGUGUGGGAGGCCGUGUUCGCCAGCCCACUGCCGCACGGCGCCGUCACCUCCGCGCCUGCCGCGAGCUGCCGCGCGGCCGCUGCAGGGGCGCCUCGUCAGUAG